UACGGGGGGAGCAAGCGUUGUUCGGAUUUACUGGGCGUAAAGGGCGCGUAGGCGGCCACCGCAAGUCGGUUGUGAAAUCUCUGGGCUUAACCCAGAAAGGUCAACCGAUACUGCGGGACUAGAGUGCAGAAGGGGCAACUGGAAUUCUCGGUGUAGCGGUGAAAUGCGUAGAUAUCAGGAAGAACACCCGUGGCGAAGGCGGCUCUCUGGGACGGUACUGACGCUGAGACGCGAAAGCGUGGGGAGCGAACAGG
This 254-nucleotide ribosomal RNA is filed under the name uncultured bacterium. Its description in RNAcentral is "partial 16S ribosomal RNA". It matches the Rfam family "Bacterial small subunit ribosomal RNA", at positions 524 to 776 of the family's 1533-position model. The record is from RNAcentral.